Molecule: long non-coding RNA, 1793 nt
Organism: Anguilla rostrata (American eel)
Lineage: Eukaryota; Metazoa; Chordata; Actinopteri; Anguilliformes; Anguillidae
Exons: 2
Source: RefSeq, a predicted model, not a curated record
UACUUCGCCUUCCAUUGCCUAGGGAAAAAACCCGGAUGUAAACUCUGCGAAACUCGUUCGGAGUGAAGUAACUCCGUGCAACUCAGCAUAGCGCAAACAACUAUGCCGAACAAUCCAUCGCGGUGUGUGAACACUUUCGUCGCUACGUGUGUUUUCCUGCCAACGAAGCAUAAAGAAAGCUCCACCCAACAGAGAACACAACGAAAGGACGCAAGGAUGGAAGAAUCAAGGAAACGAGUGUCAGUUUGAAGCCCUGUCAAUUACAGAAGCAGAAGAUUGGGACAGGUGGAUCCACAGAUUGAUCAUUUAUAUGUCAUGCAUUCAGAAAAAGAAGAAGAAAAGAAGAAGACGUGGAGGGGGGCAUGGGAGGUUGGGAGGUUUACAGAGGAGGCAGAAGAUGUGAUGGUGGGGGGGGGGGGGGCAGGGGCAGUACGGUGGCAGCUAUUUUCACAUUGCUCAUUGUUUGAAUAAAACAGAAAGGAGCCAAUCAAGCUGCAUGCGGUGGAGCAAUGCGGACGUACGGCAGCAGGUUUGGCGUAGAAGUGUGGGAAAUAGGCCAAGGAGAGACAGCCAGCAAUCAGUACCUGUACUGAUACAAAUACAGGCCAUGUCCUCUCCAUGGGCCCUCCGCCUCUGUGUCAGUCAGCUGGCAGCCAUGCCACCUCUAUUUCCAUCCUGCAGAAAAGCAACACACAAUCAGUGCCAUCACGCUGUCGUCAGAAGCGCAGCUUUGUCAGGCCAUUAUUGUUUCCCCAAUGAAUCAAUCUCAUUUUGUCUUUGUUAUUGCCAUAAUGUAGCACUCUGGUGACAGCAUUUUGUGGUGUUAUGUACUGUUCUUGUUCUGUUUUUGAGGGAUCUGCAAUUUCUGCUGUUGAUUACCCUGCCACAACCGUUUGCUGUGUUGUGCUGUUCAUAAAACUGUGGCAACACUUCCAUGCUAAAACAGAAUGAGAUACACAGAAACCUGAAAAUAAGUUUUCAAAUAGGCUUCAAUUAGAUCUUAUUUUCCUUUGGGGAAAAUGGCAUCCCUACACAAUCAAACCAUGGAAUAAUAUGUAAUGCAUUUUUUUUCCAUCAUAGAUAAAACAAUAAAUAUGUGAAUACCUCAGACCUGUUGCCGAGCCAAGAGAUUAUCCCUUUGUUCCAUCCUUGACAGUUAUCCCUUUGUUUUCACUCUUGACAGUUAUCCCUUUGUUUUCACCCUUGACAGUUAUCCUUUUGUUUUCACUAUUGACAGUUAUGCCUUUGUUUUCACCCUUGACAGUUAUCCCUUUGUUUUCACCCUUAGCAGUUAUCCUUUUGUUUUCACCCAUGACAAUUAUCCCUUUGUUUUCACUCUUGACAGUUAUCCCUUUGUUUUCACCCUUGACAGUUAUCCUUUUGUUUUCACCCUUGACAGUUAUCCCUUUGUUUUUGCCCUUAGCAGUUAUCCCUUUAUUUCACCCAUGACAGUUAUCCCUUUGUUUUCACCCUUGACAGUUAUCCUUUUGUUUUUACCCUUGACAGUUAUCCCUUUGUUUUUGCCCUUAGCAGUUAUCCCUUUAUUUCACCCAUGACAGUUAUCCCUUUGUUUUCACCCUUGACAGUUAUCCUUUUGUUUCCACACUUGGCAGUUGUUUCUUUAUUCUCACAGUUGGCAGUUAUCCCUUUGUUUUGUUUUUCUGAGGAAAAGGCAUAGCACUGGAUUGCACUUUCCUUAAUGUCAAAAGAGAGCUGCUUCUGUCCUCACGGAUGAAAAUUGAUGCUUAUUUUUAUUGUUGAGCAGCAAAAUAAAAAUGAGCAACAGCUGAGAA